CUCAAGUGGAAGAAUUAGGAGACCAGAAAUGGCACCUAGAAACUGAGGUUUUUGAUGGAGGAGAUCUUUUCUGUGUAUAUUACCUAGUAUCCUGGGAUCUUCAAUGCUGUUAGAAAAGGCCCUUACCCUGCCUGGUCUCAGACUCCGAAGAAAGUGGCUGUGGUGCACUGCAGAAAGAUAUUUGACAUGGCUGUGACGGCUGCAUUGAGAAGAGUUGAUUGCUAAACAAAGGAAAGCAAACAAAGAUUUGGAACUGGGUUACUCGUCAGACCGGACAUCAGUCCAAAAAAUAAAGAUCCUGGAAUUCAUUUAAAGGUGGACUGAAAACUUAAAUGGACAUUGGUUUAUUACAAAAGAAAAUGAAAGGGGUUCACCUAUUAAUACUUUUUUGUUCAGUUGGUUUCAGAUAGUUCACCGAUGUUCAACAUGGCUGUGACUGUGGCAUUAACUGAGAUGAGUUGCCAAACAAUGGAGAGCAAACAAAGAUUUGGACCGAGCAUCAGUCCAAAGAAAAAAGAUCCUGGAAUUCCCAUAAUGGAUAAACAGGAUUACAGCUACUUUCUACUCCCUCCCUUCUCAGUCUAAAAGAAAAACCGAGAGAGAGAAGUUCAACUGAAGGAGUGAUUCCAGACAGAGAAACAAAAAACAUUAAAUUGUAGUAUGUUUAACAUGAGUUUGACAGUGCCAUUAACUGAGAUGAGUUGAUUGCCAAACAAUGGAGAGCAAAUAAAGAUUUGGACCGGACAUCAGUCCAAUGAAUAAGAGAUCCUGGAAUUCAAUCAAAGAUGUUAAACAUGGCUGUGACUGUGGCAUUAACUGAGAUGAGUUGAGCAUCAGUCCAAAGAAUAAAGAUUCUCUUCCUGCUUCUUCACUCUUCAAAUUUCCAGGAUCAGACCCGUGCGCAGUAGAAUGAUCGUUGGCUUUUCGGCUUUUUGCUUUUCGCUCUACUGCACAUGUGCACCCGUGAGACGAAAAGAUACUCACUCCAUGGUGCUCGCAGGAAUAACACCAAGCUGGUGGAGUUUUCUGCUGAUAGGAGCACCGGCCCAGGGUUUCAAUCACUUGGGGGUGCCUAACCUGAGGUCUCUGAGGAAGUGUGCAAGCCCGAAAUGCUCUGUAAUUGAAUGUUUAAAUAAUACCUAUUUUACUUACGAUCUGGAAACAUGCGAUUUUUGAAAAAAGGCCCAGGAGUGCGCUACUCACAAUGAUAGAUGUGCUGAAAAUGUUCCUCCCUAGAGACCGACUCGGAGCGGUGGCAACCGGGUCACAUCGUGAAUGGGAUGUUAAACGUGACUGUGGCAUUAACUGAGAUGAGUUGAUGAGCCAAACAAUGGAGAGCAAACAAAGAUUUGGACUUUAAUUGUCGGACUGGGAAUCAGUCCAAAGAAUAAAGAUUCUGAAGAUUUAUCUUCCUGCUUUUUCGAUCUUCAAAUUUCCCAGGUCAGACCCGUGCGCAGUAGAAUGAAAGUCGGCCUUUUAGUUUUAAGUCCUGCUCUUUGCUCUACUGCAUAUGCGCAGCUGCGAGACGAAAGAAGAAACGGGAAGAUAAUCUGUGGUGCUCGCAGGAUUAACCCCAAGAUGGUGGAAUUUUCUGCCAAUAGGAGCACCGGCCCAGGGUUUCAGAUGUUUAACAUGGCUGUGACAGUGGCAUUAACUGAGACAACAGAGAGCAAAUAAAGAUUUGGACCUUGUUAAUCAUCAGACCCGACAUCAGUCCAAUGAAUACAGAUCCUGGAAUUCAGUUAAAGGUGGACUGACAACUUAAAUGGAUAUAAAAGUUUAAGGAACAGUAACUCCAAAAACUAAGUAUCUAUCAAAGUAAUUUAAAAUGUACUGUUGCCCUGCAUUGGUAAAAGGUUUGCUUCAUAAAGACUACUAUAGUUUAUAUAAUAAGCUACAGGUAGGGAUAGGCGAAUUUGACACUUCGUUUCGAC
Molecule: long non-coding RNA, 1934 nt
Organism: Xenopus laevis (African clawed frog)
Lineage: Eukaryota; Metazoa; Chordata; Amphibia; Anura; Pipidae
Exons: 9
Source: RefSeq, a predicted model, not a curated record